This 128-nucleotide small nucleolar RNA is filed under the name Ursus americanus (American black bear). RNAcentral describes it as "Small nucleolar RNA SNORA31 (ENSUAMG00000021635.1)". The record is from RNAcentral. Lineage: Eukaryota; Metazoa; Chordata; Mammalia; Carnivora; Ursidae.
UGCAUCUCACAGACAUGAAGCAGUUACUGUCUACUGCUAGUUUCCACUAGAGAUGCAAGGAAAAAAAAAAGUGUCCUCACACUUUCUUUCUGAUUGUGGCAGCCAAGAUUGAAUGGGGAAAUAUAGGA